Molecule: long non-coding RNA, 223 nt
Filed under: Elaeis guineensis (African oil palm)
Lineage: Eukaryota; Viridiplantae; Streptophyta; Magnoliopsida; Arecales; Arecaceae
Description: long non-coding RNA (EGUI_LNC016287)
Source: RNAcentral
UUCCUGCAGUUAGUGGGAGAGUAAUUUCUCCUUCUAAGGUGACUGCAUCUCCAGUGAAACCGACUAAUGACAUCGAGACUCUUCUGAGUCGGUCAGUCGAUAGUCGCAUUUGAGAAAAAGUUGAGUAAAACAAAACAUCAUUUGAACUUUUAUUAUCUACCAAGGUUCAUUUUACAUCAUAAUUUACUAUCAUAGUCGAGAUGAUGACAGCAUCAUCAUGGAG